This 420-nucleotide ribosomal RNA is filed under the name uncultured eukaryote. Its description in RNAcentral is "bacterial SSU rRNA". It matches the Rfam family "Eukaryotic small subunit ribosomal RNA", at positions 1224 to 1656 of the family's 1831-position model. The record is from RNAcentral.
CAGGACACGGUAAGGAUUGACGGACUGAAGGCUCUUUCUCGAUUCCGUGGAAAGUGGUGCAUGGCGUUUUGGUGUGGAUCGAUCCGUCUGGUUAAUUCCGUUAACGAACGAGACCUCGGCACUCCGAAUAGCGCGGCGGACGUCGCGGGCCUCCGGGGCCGUCUUCCGCACGAGCUUCUUAGAGGGGACCGUCCCCCGCCGGGGAAGGAGGUGCGAGGCAACGACAGGUCUGUGAUGCCCUUAGAUGUUCUGGGCCGCACGCGCAUUACACUGACGCGUCCAACGGGUGACUCCCGACCCGAAGGGGCCGGGGAAUCCGCAAGGCGCGUCGUGAUGGGGAUUGAACGUUGCAAUUGUUGUUCACGAACGAGGAAUUCCUAGUAGGCGCGGGUCAUCAACCCGCGCCGAUUACGUCCCUGC